RNAcentral lists this ribosomal RNA (273 nucleotides) under uncultured bacterium. RNAcentral describes it as "partial 16S ribosomal RNA". It matches the Rfam family "Bacterial small subunit ribosomal RNA", at positions 524 to 796 of the family's 1533-position model. The record is from RNAcentral.
UACAGAGGGGGCGAGCGUUGUUCGGAAUUACUGGGCGUAAAGGGCGCGUAGGUGGCCUGUUAAGUCGAACGUGAAAUCCCCGGGCUCAACCCGGGAACUGCGUCCGAGACUGGCAGGCUCGAAUCCGGGAGAGGGAUGUGGAAUUCCAGGUGUAGCGGUGAAAUGCGUAGAUAUCUGGAGGAACACCGGUGGCGAAGGCGGCAUCCUGGACCGGUAUUGACGCUGAGGCGCGAAAGCCAGGGGAGCAAACGGGAUUAGAAACCCCCGUAGUCC